RNAcentral lists this long non-coding RNA (859 nucleotides) under Struthio camelus australis. RNAcentral describes it as "lncRNA (ENSSCUG00000004673.1)". The record is from RNAcentral. Lineage: Eukaryota; Metazoa; Chordata; Aves; Struthioniformes; Struthionidae.
GGGGACCGAGGCUAUUUUGCUUAAAAAAGAAGAAAAUGUAUCUUUCUGCAACCCAAACCACUGCUUGUAUAUUUUUUGAAGCCUCAUAGUCAAUGUGGGAAGGUACAUUUCCUCAUGUAGGGUAUCAAGAGAGCUAUCAGUUAACACAGAAUUAAGCUUAUUAGAAACUACUUUUCCUCACCCUUCUCUUCCCACUUCUUAUCUUCCCUCCCCUGUGGUACUUUAGUGCCCUGAAGACCAACUGAACUGCAGUGCUGUAGCUGUUUGUACACACUGCAAAUGACCUGGCUUUUUAUCCAGCUGCCAGGAGAAUUUGUACUGACUGCAGGAGGACUGGGGCACGCAGCGUACUUCAUCGUCAAUGGGAAUUCAUGCCUUUCAUAACUCAGCAACAACUAACAGAGCCAGUUAGCCCAAAAUAUUAUUUUCCUGAAACGUCUGCAAACAAAGGGAUGCAUUUUGCAGACAGAAGAAGCUUGUGUGAACUCAUGACUGAAAUGAAACUUGCCCAUUUUGAAUCAUGUUUUCAUGCCUGCAAGCAAGACUCAGAGAUGGAUGCUUCAGAGGACCUGACGAAGGAAUGUGGGCUCCUUCCAUAUCAAGGCAUAAAGCUGUGGGCUCCAUCGACUGUACUGAGGAAGGGCCUGAAUCAGUUCCUUAAUAUCAGCAUCUGGUGUCAUUUUUGUGCCCUCAGAACCAAUAAAGCAGAGGAUGACAAUUUGCUGCUAGUCUGUAUCUUUAGAGGAGAACAACACUCUCCAGCUUGGACCACAGGGGAAGGGUUUAAGGGCUUCCAUAAAUAAAUCCAUAAAUACAAUACAAUCACCUGCGUGGGAUGUGUUGUUGUUGCAGGAUCUAG